This 118-nucleotide small nucleolar RNA is filed under the name Musa acuminata subsp. malaccensis (wild Malaysian banana). RNAcentral's name for it is "Small nucleolar RNA Z103". It matches the Rfam family "Small nucleolar RNA Z103". From Rfam's summary of the family: This family consists of several snoRNA Z103 sequences which are members of the C/D class of snoRNA which contain the C (UGAUGA) and D (CUGA) box motifs. The record is from Rfam by way of RNAcentral. Lineage: Eukaryota; Viridiplantae; Streptophyta; Magnoliopsida; Zingiberales; Musaceae.
GGGGACGUGAUGAUCCUUUUCCCCACAUGAUCGACGAUGAAUUCACCGCGUCUCCUUUCUUCUUGUUCUCCCCUAAUUCGUGGAGAGCUAAGAAUUCAAGCCAGCAGUUCUGAUCCCC